UUAAGUUCAGCGGGUAUUCCUACCUGAUCCGAGGUCAAAUUUUCAGAAGUUGGGGGUUUAACGGCAGGGCCGCACCAAGACCUUCCAAAGCGAGGGUUUAACUACUGCGCUCGGGGUCCUGGCGAGCUCGCCACUGAAUUUCAGGACCUGCCUUUUCUCAAAGGCAGUGUCCCAUCACAGCCAGCUUGAGGGUUGAAAUG
This 200-nucleotide unclassified non-coding RNA is filed under the name Diaporthe sp. RNAcentral describes it as "partial internal transcribed spacer 2". Lineage: Eukaryota; Fungi; Ascomycota; Sordariomycetes; Diaporthales; Diaporthaceae. The record is from RNAcentral.